UGGGGAAUUUUGGACAAUGGGCGCAAGCCUGAUCCAGCCAUGCCGCGUGCAGGAUGAAGGCCUUCGGGUUGUAAACUGCUUUUGUACGGAACGAAAAGACUCCUUCUAAUAAAGGGGGUCCAUGACGGUACCGUAAGAAUAAGCACCGGCUAACUAAGUGCCAGCAGCCGCGGUAAUACGUAGGGUGCGAGCGUUAAUCGGAAUUACUGGGCGUAAAGCGUGCGCAGGCGGUGAUGUAAGACAGAUGUGAAAUCCCCGGGCUCAACCUGGGAACUGCAUUUGUGACUGCAUCGCUGGAGUGCGGCAGAGGGGGAUGGAAUUCCGCGUGUAGCAGUGAAAUGCGUAGAUAUGCGGAGGAACACCGAUGGCGAAGGCAAUCCCCUGGGCCUGCACUGACGCUCAUGCACGAAAGCGUGGGGAGCAAACAGG
Molecule: ribosomal RNA, 429 nt
Filed under: Acidobacteriota bacterium
Lineage: Bacteria; Pseudomonadati; Acidobacteriota
Description: Acidobacteria bacterium partial 16S ribosomal RNA
Rfam family: Bacterial small subunit ribosomal RNA
Source: RNAcentral